GGCGUGCCUAACACAUGCAAGUCGAACGGAGAACUCAAAAAGCUUGCUUUGAGAGUUCUUAGUGGCGGACGGGUGAGUAACGCGUGGGCAACCUCCCCCUUAAACCGGGACAACCCUUGGAAACGAGGGCUAAUACCGGAUACACUUUUCUGAGGACAUCCUCGGGAAAGGAAAGGCGGCCUCUGAAGAUGCUGCCGAUAAGGGAUGGACCCGCGUCUGAUUAGCUUGUUGGUGGGGUAAAGGCCUACCAAGGCGACGAUCAGUAGCCGGCCUGAGAGGGUGAACGGCCACACUGGGACUGAGACACGGCCCAGACUCCUACGGGAGGCAGCAGUGGGGAAUCUUCCGCAAUGGACGAAAGUCUGACGGAGCAACGCCGCGUGUAUGACGAAGGCCUUCGGGUUGUAAAGUACUGUCUUUAGGGACGAACGGUAUCUAUGUGAACAAUGUAGGUACAUGACGGUACCUAAGGAGGAAGCCCCGGCUAACUACGUGCCAGCAGCCGCGGUAAUACGUAGGGGGCGAGCGUUGUCCGGAAUCAUUGGGCGUAAAGGGCGCGUAGGCGGAUUUUUAAGUCUGGUGUGAAAACUUGGGGCUCAACCCCAAGCCUGCAUCGGAAACUGGGAAUCUUGA
RNAcentral lists this ribosomal RNA (633 nucleotides) under uncultured Desulfitobacterium sp. RNAcentral's name for it is "bacterial SSU rRNA". It matches the Rfam family "Bacterial small subunit ribosomal RNA", at positions 41 to 645 of the family's 1533-position model. The record is from RNAcentral. Lineage: Bacteria; Bacillati; Bacillota; Clostridia; Eubacteriales; Desulfitobacteriaceae.